GGCGGCGUGCUUAACACAUGCAAGUCGAACGAUGAUCCCAGCUUGCUGGGGGAUUAGUGGCGAACGGGUGAGUAACACGUGAGUAACCUGCCCUUGACUCUGGGAUAAGCCUGGGAAACUGGGUCUAAUACCGGAUACGACCAUCUGGCGCAUGUCAUGGUGGUGGAAAGCUUUUGUGGUUUUGGAUGGACUCGCGGCCUAUCAGCUUGUUGGUGGGGUAAUGGCCUACCAAGGCGACGACGGGUAGCCGGCCUGAGAGGGUGACCGGCCACACUGGGACUGAGACACGGCCCAGACUCCUACGGGAGGCAGCAGUGGGGAAUAUUGCACAAUGGGCGAAAGCCUGAUGCAGCGACGCCGCGUGAGGGAUGACGGCCUUCGGGUUGUAAACCUCUUUCAGUAGGGAAGAAGCGAAAGUGACGGUACCUGCAGAAGAAGCGCCGGCUAACUACGUGCCAGCAGCCGCGGUAAUACGUAGGGCGCAAGCGUUAUCCGGAAUUAUUGGGCGUAAAGAGCUCGUAGGCGGUUUGUCGCGUCUGCUGUGAAAGACCGGGGCUCAACUCCGGUUCUGCAGUGGGUACGGGCAGACUAGAGUGCAGUAGGGGAGACUGGAAUUCCUGGUGUAGCGGUGAAAUGCGCACAUAUCAGGAGGAACACCGAUGGCGAAGGCAGGUCUCUGGGCUGUAACUGACGCUGAGGAGCGAAAGCAUGGGGAGCGAACAGGAUUAGAUACCCUGGUAGUCCAUGCCGUAAACGUUGGGCACUACGUGUGGGGAACAUUCCAACGUUUUCCGGCGCCGUAGGCUAACGCAUUAAAGGCUGCCCC
RNAcentral lists this ribosomal RNA (826 nucleotides) under Paenarthrobacter nitroguajacolicus. RNAcentral's name for it is "bacterial SSU rRNA". It matches the Rfam family "Bacterial small subunit ribosomal RNA", at positions 38 to 873 of the family's 1533-position model. Lineage: Bacteria; Bacillati; Actinomycetota; Actinomycetes; Micrococcales; Micrococcaceae. The record is from RNAcentral.